Lates calcarifer (barramundi perch) is the source of this 694-nucleotide long non-coding RNA. RefSeq lists it as uncharacterized. The transcript has 4 exons. The record is from RefSeq and is a predicted model, not a curated record. Lineage: Eukaryota; Metazoa; Chordata; Actinopteri; Centropomidae.
CGCAUUUGUUUGAAUAAAUGGAACUGCUUAACCUCCCAUGAGAUGUACAACUUUAAUCAGCAGAAAAGUGACUCUGGGCUUGUUAUAAACGUGAGAAUCGACAUGAAAAUCGCCGACACGAUGAGAUGUACGUCUAAAAUGGGGUUGAGACGGUGUUUAACGUGGACUAGUCUCUUCCGCCUUGCUAAUUAGUCUUCCCAAACACCUGUGUGGUGAAGCUCGGUUGGCACGCAGAGGCUGUGCAGUGCCCAGGACGAUAAAUGGUGCAGUAUCAGAAGGAAAAAUAUGAAUAGGAGUCCAAGCCAAACGGAGAGGGAAGACUGAACAGGCAUCAGAGUUUCAUAUGGAGAAAGAGCACCUGGGGCAUAAAGACAGAAGUUAUGAGGUCUCAUGUAUGGUUGAGUCCCUCUGCUCUCAUCAACCUCAUUUCCACCGGCAAUAAGCGGCCAUUUUCGGCAGACAAGCUCUGAUAAACCCACUGUUCAGCACCAAGCAGCAGAAGGAUUGAAAAAAAAACUUGGUGAGUAGCUGAAGAAAGUCAAGCAAGUUAGCAAGCAAAUAUUUUUUUCAUGAGUUUGUGGAGACCUGUCAGGUGGCCAGAGACCUGUGACUCCAAGUGUGAAUCUGACACGCGGAAUGACACUGAAACGUUUUAGGAACUAUGUAUCCAUUCAUUCACUCAACCUCUGUUUAU